CAAUAGCGUAUAUUAAAGUUGUUGCAGUUAAAAAGCUCGUAGUUGGAUUUCUGGUAGGAGUGACCGUGCCAGACUUGAUUGUCUGUGUAUUGUGUUGUCUCCAGCCAUCCUUGUGGAGAACUUUUCUUGCAUUAAUUUGUAGGGAUUGGGACCCGCAUCGUUUACUGUGAAAAAAUUAGGGUGUUUAAAGCAGGCAAUCGCUUGAAUACAUUAGCAUGGAAUAAUAAGAUAGGACUUUGGUACUAUUUUGUUGGUUUGCAUACCAAAUUAAUGAUCAACAGGAACAGUUUGAGGAUAUUCGUAUGAACAUGUCAGAGGUGAAAUUCUUGGAUCUUGAUCAGACGAACUACUGCGAAAGCAUUUAUCAAGGAUGUUUUCAUUAA
Molecule: ribosomal RNA, 383 nt
Filed under: uncultured eukaryote
Lineage: Eukaryota
Description: partial 18S ribosomal RNA
Rfam family: Eukaryotic small subunit ribosomal RNA
Source: RNAcentral